Molecule: long non-coding RNA, 795 nt
Organism: Vigna angularis (adzuki bean)
Lineage: Eukaryota; Viridiplantae; Streptophyta; Magnoliopsida; Fabales; Fabaceae
Exons: 2
Source: RefSeq, a predicted model, not a curated record
CGUGCUCUCUAUGCUUAUCCCGCAAUCAAUGUUAGCAUCAAAGGACGACUGAGAUCAAAUUUUAAAUCGGUUCCACCAACCGAUCAUCGCCAGGUGUCGUUUGAUGCGUUGGAUUCCACUACUCCCUCUUACUUUAAAGAGGUUGGUAUCUUCUCUCCCAUCACCUUGUAGAAUACAUUACCAAUUUCUCCCACACAACCCAUUUGUUUUCUCUCUGAAAGGAGUUUUUGUGAUGGCUGGGUUUGAACAACAAGUGAAAGAUAGAGCCAAGGAGCUCAAGGUCUUGCUCAAGAAAGGGGUGAAGAUUGUGGGAGAUUCAUGUAAGAAGGGUUGGAACAAAGUCAAGCAUAUCAAGCGUUGAUCAGUGAUUGUAACAACUUGCAUGGCAUAUUCAAAGUCACUUGAUUGGUUUUUUGGUAUUGGUUGUAUUAUUUCUUCAUAGGUUUCUCUUCUUCAUAUCUAUUUUUCUUCUCUCUCACCCUUUUAUUGUUUUUUUUAGGGAUAUAUUAUUUUGUUUUGUCCAUGUUUGUUUUUGUUUAAAUCUAAAUUUUUUUGUUUCUAUAUAUUAUUCUCUAUGUUCUUCCUCAGUGUUGCUACUGGCAGUUGCUGCAUGUUCCAGGAUGUUGCUGUUUUGACUCAAAAUUUGUAAUAUAAGAUGCAGGAACAGUUGUAAAUUUUCAGAUGCUGUGUUCUGGUCUACCGAGGAAUCCAUGGUUAAAAUAAAAAUUGUGAAAAUAAAAGGACAAAUGUAAAAGAUACUCAGUAAAAGUUGGCAAGGAGUUUAUGUUCUAUACU